This is a long non-coding RNA of Amphiprion ocellaris (clown anemonefish), 302 nucleotides long. Lineage: Eukaryota; Metazoa; Chordata; Actinopteri; Pomacentridae. The record is from Ensembl.
CUGAGGCACUCCUAUCCUCUGGCUUCACCAUGCUGGUGGGAUUUUCAUCAGAGCCAUUAAUGUUGGCAUCAGCAGCUUCAAGCACUUCAGAAAGUCCAGCUGCCAAGAGUUCUGUUUCUGUAACCCUGCUGGGUUAUUUUAGUCACAGCGGUGUUUAAGGAAGUUCAUCAGUGUGAUCAGCCACGACUAAAAGAUGAACCACGAGGCUCCAGAGCAGAGAGAUGGAAACCUGCUGAGCAUCAGGAGACUCUUCAGAUACUUCAGGUACUUAUGAAGGAGGUGAUGCACGACGGUUACUACAG